This 513-nucleotide ribosomal RNA is filed under the name uncultured Actinomycetes bacterium. Its description in RNAcentral is "bacterial SSU rRNA". It matches the Rfam family "Bacterial small subunit ribosomal RNA", at positions 369 to 896 of the family's 1533-position model. Lineage: Bacteria; Bacillati; Actinomycetota; Actinomycetes. The record is from RNAcentral.
CAAUGGGCGAAAGCCUGAUGCAGCAACGCCGCGUGCGGGAAGAAGGCCCUAGGGUUGUAAACCGCUUUCAGCAGGGAAGAAGAUGACGGUACCUGUAGAAGAAGGUGCGGCCAACUACGUGCCAGCAGCCGCGGUGACACGUAGGCACCAAGCGUUGUCCGGAUUUAUUGGGCGUAAAGAGCUCGUAGGCGGUUCGGUAAGUCGGGUGUGAAAACUCUGGGCUCAACCCAGAGCCGCCACCCGAUACUGCUGUGACUUGAGUUCGGUAGGGGAGCGGGGAAUUCCUGGUGUAGCGGUGAAAUGCGCAGAUAUCAGGAGGAACACCAGUGGCGAAGGCGCCGCUCUGGGCCGAGACUGACGCUGAGGAGCGAAAGCGUGGGUAGCAAACAGGAUUAGAUACCCUGGUAGUCCACGCCGUAAACGUUGGGCACUAGGUGUGGGUCUCAACCAACGAGAUCCGCGCCGUCGCUAACGCAUUAAGUGCCCCGCCUGGGGAGUACGGUCGCAAGACUA